UUAAUUAGAUAAUCCAUAUUAUUAAUUUAUUAUUUAUAAUUAAUUAUUAAUAAUAAUUAUUAUUUAUAAUUAAUUAUUAAUAAUUAAUUUCUUAUUUAUUUUUAAGUAAUAUUUUUAUUACUAUUAAUUACAUAAUAUAAUUUUAAUUUCAAAUUAUAACUCUUAUUCCUCUUGUUCCAAUCUAACCAUCCAAACACUAUUUGUCUUAUUCCUAGGAACAACCUAAUUUUCAUCCAAACGCAAAAUUGGUCUAGUUCCUGCUUAUACCUGAACUUGUACCUAUCCCUAGAACUAGCAGUUCUUACUUAUACCCGAACCAAACGCAGCCGUAAGUUUCUAAAGUCAUGGCCUUCAUAUAAAUCUAUUCCUCUAACUUGUAUACCAAUUUUUAUUUGGUUUGCAAAGUCUAAAGCAGGCAUUAAAUAGUCUGGACUAACGUAAAAUAUU
RNAcentral lists this long non-coding RNA (447 nucleotides) under Ananas comosus (pineapple). RNAcentral's name for it is "long non-coding RNA (ACOM_LNC044225)". Lineage: Eukaryota; Viridiplantae; Streptophyta; Magnoliopsida; Poales; Bromeliaceae. The record is from RNAcentral.